This 221-nucleotide unclassified non-coding RNA is filed under the name Melitaea cinxia (Glanville fritillary). RNAcentral describes it as "misc RNA ENSMCXG00005006014.1". Lineage: Eukaryota; Metazoa; Arthropoda; Insecta; Lepidoptera; Nymphalidae. The record is from RNAcentral.
GUAAAUAUCUAUUAGGUGAAGAGAUAUUUUAUGUCAUACUAACAACUACUAUUUUCAAUAUACUUUUUAAGUAAACUAACGAAGGUUGUAAUAUCGACCGCACCGAUCAAUCUCCUUCGUGUAUUCUCCAUUCUACGUGACAUUGGCGAAAUCAUCUGUGCUCAUUUGGCACUAUUGAAAGCCAUUAAUUAAGAAGAAGAAGAAGAAGAGUUGGUAAGAUC